AUGUCAUUUUGAUCUUUAAGAAGUCUCUAAUCUUUCCAAGGAGCAUCUGACCCCUUGGAGAAACCUACUUGGAUGUAAGAGGACAUAUAUCCUUCUCAACGCAUCUCUCAAGGUUUUAUCAAAAACUAUAUACAAAUUUACUGUCUCUGACAAGCAGUGAAAAGAAGUUGUUUUUCUCACUGCUUAACCUCCUUGAAAUGAAAACACACACAGUAAACUCCACACCUUAGAGCAGAAGGAUGCAAUUGUUGGCCUUUUGGCUCAUUUUGGCAAAAAUCAACCUUUUUGAUGGUACAUGUGAUGCUUGAAGAUACAGGCAUACAAUGUGUAAUGAUCAAAUCAGGAUGCAGAUAACAAUGUCACCUGAAUCAUGAGAAUCAGAAAUGACCCCAGAUAUUGUCAGAAGUGCCCCGACUUGAGAACCACUGUUUUAAAUUAACUAAUAAUUUUCGAGAGGCCAGAGAGCCUAAUGGUUAAGCUCAGGCUCUGGAGACUGGAAUCUAGAACUGGAUUUAAGUCCUAAUUCUCUACCUUAGUCAUUAUAGACCUUGAGCAAAUGACUUACAAUGUAAGUACUAAGUAAGUUACUUUUGAAGCCUCACUUCUUCAUUUGUAAAAUGGGACUAAUAAGAGUACCUGCUUCCUAGGGUUAGUGUGUAGACUAAAUGAGCCAACACAUGUGGAGCAUUUAGCAUAGUAUAUGGCACGUGGCAGCUACUCAAUAAAUGCUAGAAAUUGUUCUAUUAUUUGACAGUUACAAAAGAGCACAUAGUAAGAAGAGAUGAACACGGUUAUUUCUGAAAGUAGACUCUUGGGCAUCAAGGAAUCAAGGAAAGCAAAAUAUCUGGGUAUCAUUCUACAAAAGCAUUUGGAGGCAGUAGCCUGGUAAAUCAGUCAACAAUUAUUCAAUCAUCUGUUAUAUGCCAAGUCAUAUUCUAAUGUUGAGUGUAUAGAUGUGAGCAAGACAAAGUCCCGCCUUGAAGAUCUCACAUAUUAAUGGGAAAGACAGAAAGGUAACAGAAGUGACUUAAAACCAGUGUGGUAGAGCAGCCACUGUUAGUUUUCCAUCAGAGUUCAUUCUUCUCUUCUUCUGUCAUAACAUGUCACAUGGCUUCCCAACUACACUGAAUUUCUGUAUUUUGAUACACUAAGUAGUGCAGUAGCCAUUUGAGUAGCUCGUUCCAAUGGUCCGUGAGCAGAAGUGAAGUGUGCCACUUCCAGGUCUUUCUCACAUGGUUUUUAAUGCUUUUUAUUUCUUUUUGUGAGCUUCAAGGUCACAGCAAUGAUCAGAGUGACACAGCAGUGUUGGAAGUCAUGUGUUAAAAUUGACAGAGCAGAUGUCGGCUUGGGUCCCUGAGUGACUGUAUGGAGCAAAGCCUCCCACCCUGGCUGCAAGCUGCAAGUUUUGCCUGGGUCAUUCACUGAAAGGGAAGUGGACCCCGAUUAUGUUUGAGCCAUUACAUCUUGCUUUAUUUGUUAAAUAAUUUUGGUUACCAAAUGAACACAGGUGAUCUGGAAAGGUUCCUGUGAUAAGAGAACAUUCAAACUGAAAUCUCACAGAAGAAAAAAAGGCACCAUAUGUCCUUCUAGAAGACUGUUUUAGGGGCAAGAAGAGCUAGUACAAGGGAGCUGUCUUUGACAGGUGACUAGAGCCUGACAUUACAGCCCUAUGAUACAGAGGAUCCAUGCUGGAGGGUGAGCUAGGGGCGCACAGGUAGAAAUGGCAUCAGGAUAAAAUGCAGGUAUGGAUUCUAGAUCUGUUUGGUUUAUAAAAUACUCCUUGGCAACCGGAAGGAUUUCUUUCUCUUUUCCUAGAGAAACAAAAGGUUCUGCCCAAACAUUUUUUUGUGUGUGUGAAAAUCUGACACUUUAAUUAGCAUCCAACACCUGGUAGUUAUAUGUUGUUUAGAUAAAAAAUUCAAUUGAAUUUAACUUGAGCAAAGACUGCAUCUGAAAUCAAUUGACAUAGGUUGGUGAGGGUUCCUGAUUCAUCUUGCAGAGAUUCAAAGAGAAACUAUUUUUCAAGUUUUUCUGACAAAAUCACCAAUAAUAGAAGUUCCAGGGAGGCCAUAAGUGUCCUGGUAGUGAUAUGGUGUUUGGUCUUCAUGGAAAUUUACUUGAUGCAUAGUGUUUGAGGGUACAAUCUUUAGUUCCUUCUGAGAUUUAGUUUUUCUAUAUAUACCUAUUUUCACAUUAUCUACAAAUUUCAAGAAUAUAGAAAAAUUUCAGGAAGUAUUAGUAUUUCUUUUAUUAGGAAAAGUCAUUUGUGCUCAGUAGUGUGACACCAAUCCCAUAAAAUGGCUGUGUAUGGAAAUAGAGGCCACUUUUUGGACACAGCCAAUAUUUUCUCAUUCUUUUAUUUAACAA
Microcebus murinus (gray mouse lemur) is the source of this 2367-nucleotide non-coding RNA. The record is from RefSeq and is a predicted model, not a curated record. NCBI's taxonomy places the organism in Eukaryota, Metazoa, Chordata, Mammalia, Primates, Cheirogaleidae.